RNAcentral lists this ribosomal RNA (331 nucleotides) under uncultured eukaryote. RNAcentral's name for it is "partial 18S ribosomal RNA". It matches the Rfam family "Eukaryotic small subunit ribosomal RNA", at positions 1470 to 1796 of the family's 1831-position model. The record is from RNAcentral.
CCCUUAGAUGUUCUGGGCCGCACGCGCGCUCCACUGACGAAGUCAGCGAGCAUGUCCUACGCCGACAGGUGCGGGGAAUCUUGUCAAACUUCGUCGUGAUGGGGAUUGAUUAUUGAAAUUCUUGAUCAUCAACGAGGAAUUCCUAGUAAGCGCAAGUCAGCAGCUUGCGUUGAUUACGUCCCUGCCCUUUGUACACACCGCCCGUCGCUACUACCGAUUGAAUGGUUUAGUGAGAUCUUCGGAUUGGCGCCACUGCGGCUCAGCAAUGGGCUCGGUGGAUGCCGAAAAGUUGAUCAAACUUGAUCAUUUAGAGGAAGUAAAAGUCGUAACA